RNAcentral lists this ribosomal RNA (460 nucleotides) under uncultured bacterium. RNAcentral describes it as "partial 16S ribosomal RNA". It matches the Rfam family "Bacterial small subunit ribosomal RNA", at positions 338 to 795 of the family's 1533-position model. The record is from RNAcentral.
CCUACGGGGGGCAGCAGUGAGGAAUAUUGGUCAAUGGGCGCGAGCCUGAACCAGCCAAGUAGCGUGAAGGAUGACUGCCCUACGGGUUGUAAACUUCUUUUAUAUGGGAAUAAAAUGUUCCACGUGUGGGAUUUUGUAUGUACCAUAUGAAUAAGGAUCGGCUAACUCCGUGCCAGCAGCCGCGGUAAUACGGAGGAUCCGAGCGUUAUCCGGAUUUAUUGGGUUUAAAGGGAGCGUAGGUGGAUUGUUAAGUCAGUUGUGAAAGUUUGCGGCUCAACCGUAAAAUUGCAGUUGAAACUGGCAGUCUUGAGUACAGUAGAGGUAGGCGGAAUUCGUGGUGUAGCGGUGAAAUGCUUAGAUAUCACGAAGAACUCCGAUUGCGAAGGCAGCCUGCUGGACUGUAACUGACGCUGAUGCUCGAAAGUGUGGGUAUCAAACAGGAUUAGAUACACUUGUAGUC